Long non-coding RNA from Pogoniulus pusillus (Red-fronted tinkerbird), 254 nucleotides. RefSeq lists it as uncharacterized. The record is from RefSeq and is a predicted model, not a curated record. The transcript has 3 exons. Lineage: Eukaryota; Metazoa; Chordata; Aves; Piciformes; Lybiidae.
GGGGUUGGAGAGCCGCAGCCAGCUGGCACGUGGAGUGACAACAGAGCUGCAGGUACAGCUACAAAAAGGAGGAAAAGAAAGCAAAUUUCCAUUGACAUGGGACAUUCUACCAACUGUGCGUGACAUGUACAGAGGCUAAAAAAGCAAUCACCAUCACAAGCAGAUAAGCCCCAGUUUUCUGAACAGCACUGAUCUGCAGAAAAUAAGAGAGAAGGAGAAGAAGAAGAAACAACUUUUUCUGCAGUCUUCACCAG